RNAcentral lists this ribosomal RNA (301 nucleotides) under uncultured bacterium. RNAcentral describes it as "partial 16S ribosomal RNA". It matches the Rfam family "Bacterial small subunit ribosomal RNA", at positions 509 to 807 of the family's 1533-position model. The record is from RNAcentral.
CAGCCGCCGCGGUAAUACGAAGGGUGCAAGCGUUACUCGGAAUUACUGGGCGUAAAGCGUGCGUAGGGGGUGGUUUAAGUCCGUUGUGAAAGCCCUGGGCUCAACCUGGGAGUUGCAGUGGAUACUGGGUCACUAGAGUGUGGUAGAGGAUAGUGGAAUUUCCGGUGUAGCAGUGAAAUGCGUAGAGAUCGGAAGGAACAUCUGUGGCGAAGGCGACUAUCUGGGCCAACACUGACACUGAGGCACGAAAGCGUGGGGAGCAAACAGGAUUAGAUACCCGAGUAGUCCCUGUCUCUUAUAC